This 443-nucleotide ribosomal RNA is filed under the name uncultured Desulfobulbus sp. Its description in RNAcentral is "bacterial SSU rRNA". It matches the Rfam family "Bacterial small subunit ribosomal RNA", at positions 943 to 1382 of the family's 1533-position model. The record is from RNAcentral. Lineage: Bacteria; Pseudomonadati; Thermodesulfobacteriota; Desulfobulbia; Desulfobulbales; Desulfobulbaceae.
GGUUUAAUUCGAUGCAACGCGAAGAACCUUACCUGGUCUUGACAUCCCGGAGACCCUUAGGAACUAGGGGUGCUUCCAUCUGGAAGAAUCUGGAGACAGGUGCUGCAUGGCUGUCGUCAGCUCGUGUCGUGAGAUGUUGGGUUAAGUCCCGCAACGAGCGCAACCCUUGCCUUUAGUUGCCAGCAGUUCGGCUGGGCACUCUAAAGGGACUGCCGGUGUUAAACCGGAGGAAGGUGGGGAUGACGUCAAGUCCUCAUGGCCUUUAUGACCAGGGCUACACACGUACUACAAUGGCCGAUACAAAGGGCAGCGACACUGCGAGGUGAAGCCAAUCCCGUAAAAUCGGUCUCAGUCCGGAUUGGAGUCUGCAACUCGACUCCAUGAAGUUGGAAUCGCUAGUAAUCGUGGAUCAGCAUGCCACGGUGAAUACGUUCCCGGGCCUU